RNAcentral lists this ribosomal RNA (253 nucleotides) under uncultured bacterium. RNAcentral describes it as "partial 16S ribosomal RNA". It matches the Rfam family "Bacterial small subunit ribosomal RNA", at positions 524 to 776 of the family's 1533-position model. The record is from RNAcentral.
GACGGAGGGGGCUAGCGUUGUUCGGAAUCACUGGGCGUAAAGCGCGCGUAGGCGGCUUAUCAAGUUGGGCGUGAAAGCCCGGGGCUCAACCCCGGAAAUGCGCCCAAAACUGGUUGGCUUGAGACCGAGAGAGGGUGGUGGAAUUCCCAGUGUAGAGGUGAAAUUCGUAGAUAUUGGGAAGAACACCAGUGGCGAAGGCGGCCACCUGGCUCGGAUCUGACGCUGAGGCGCGAAAGCGUGGGGAGCAAACAGG